CCUACGUGGGGCUGCAGUGGGGAAUAUUGGACAAUGGGCGAAAGCCUGAUCCAGCCAUGCCGCGUGUGUGAAGAAGGCCUUCGGGUUGUAAAGCACUUUCAGUGGGGAAGAAAGCCUUGGGGCUAAUACCCUCGAGGAAGGACAUCACCCACAGAAGAAGCACCGGCUAACUCCGUGCCAGCAGCCGCGGUAAUACGGAGGGUGCGAGCGUUAAUCGGAAUUACUGGGCGUAAAGCGCGCGUAGGCGGUCUGAUAAGCCGGUUGUGAAAGCCCCGGGCUCAACCUGGGAACGGCAUCCGGAACUGUCAGGCUAGAGUGCAGGAGAGGAAGGUAGAAUUCCCGGUGUAGCGGUGAAAUGCGUAGAGAUCGGGAGGAAUACCAGUGGCGAAGGCGGCCUUCUGGACUGACACUGACGCUGAGGUGCGAAAGCGUGGGUAGCAAACAGGAUUAGAUACCCGGGUAGUC
Molecule: ribosomal RNA, 465 nt
Filed under: Vreelandella stevensii
Lineage: Bacteria; Pseudomonadati; Pseudomonadota; Gammaproteobacteria; Oceanospirillales; Halomonadaceae
Description: partial 16S ribosomal RNA
Rfam family: Bacterial small subunit ribosomal RNA
Source: RNAcentral